This 486-nucleotide ribosomal RNA is filed under the name uncultured bacterium. RNAcentral describes it as "partial 16S ribosomal RNA". It matches the Rfam family "Bacterial small subunit ribosomal RNA", at positions 30 to 507 of the family's 1533-position model. The record is from RNAcentral.
AUUGAACGCUGGCGGCAUGCCUUACACAUGCAAGUCGAACGGCAGCACGGGUGCUUGCACCUGGUGGCGAGUGGCGAACGGGUGAGUAAUACAUCGGAACAUGUCCUGUAGUGGGGGAUAGCCCGGCGAAAGCCGGAUUAAUACCGCAUACGAUCUACGGAUGAAAGCGUGGGACCUUCGGGCCUCGCGCUAUAGGGUUGGCCGAUGGCUGAUUAGCUAGUUGGCGGGGUAAAGGCCUACCAAGGCGACGAUCAGUAGCUGGUCUGAGAGGACGACCAGCCACACUGGGACUGAGACACGGCCCAGACUCCUACGGGAGGCAGCAGUGGGGAAUUUUGGACAAGGGGCGAAAGCCUGAUACAGCAAUGCCGCGUGUGUGAAGAAGGCCUUCGGGUUGUAAAGCACUUUUGUCCGGAAAGAAAUACUUGGCCCUAAUACGGUCGGGGGAUGACGGUACCGGAAGAAUAAGCACCGGCUAACUACGUG